GGAAGGUCCGGGCGUUAUCCGGAUUUAUUGGGUUUAAAGGGAGCGUAGGCCGGAGAUUAAGCGUGUUGUGAAAUGUAGAUGCUCAACAUCUGCACUGCAGCGCGAACUGGUUUCCUUGAGUACGCACAAAGUGGGCGGAAUUCGUGGUGUAGCGGUGAAAUGCUUAGAUAUCACGAAGAACUCCGAUUGCGAAGGCAGUUCACUGGAGCGCAACUGACGCUGAAGCUCGAAAGUGCGGGUAUCGAACAGGAUUAGAUACCCUGGUAGUCCGCACGGUAAACGAUGGAUGCCCGCUGUUGGUCUGAAUAGGUCAGCGGCCAAGCGAAAGCAUUAAGCAUCCCACCUGGGGAGUACGCCGGCAACGGUGAAACUCAAAGGAAUUGACGGCCGUCAAUUCCUUUGAGUUUGGUAUUACCGCGGCUG
This 423-nucleotide ribosomal RNA is filed under the name uncultured bacterium. RNAcentral's name for it is "bacterial SSU rRNA". It matches the Rfam family "Bacterial small subunit ribosomal RNA", at positions 527 to 1383 of the family's 1533-position model. The record is from RNAcentral.